RNAcentral lists this long non-coding RNA (591 nucleotides) under Ananas comosus (pineapple). Its description in RNAcentral is "long non-coding RNA (ACOM_LNC005060)". Lineage: Eukaryota; Viridiplantae; Streptophyta; Magnoliopsida; Poales; Bromeliaceae. The record is from RNAcentral.
UUUUGCAGUACGUCUGAUUCCGUAGUAAGAAUGCCAUGUGCUCCAAAAGAGGCGGUGGCGUCAUAUGCGAGGUCGAGAUAGUUGUUGGCGUAGAGGAUGAUAGUGGAAGCAAAGUUAGGAAAUAAACUGAAAAUAAAAGUAAAAAGUUAGGGCUGACGAUUUAAAGGCUAAAGAUCUUAUUAUAAAUAAGAAAAACUUUAAAUACCAUCCAUGUGGUUUCACAGUUUCUCACUUUAAUACCCUGUGGUUUAAAGUGUAUCAAUUUAGUGCCAUAUGGUUUCAUUUUUAUCUUUUUAUUAUCGAUUUUAUUAAUUUUUUUCAUUAAAUCUAUGACAAAGUUAAAACUAAAAUAUACUAAAGUGAAUAUUCGAUAAAUAUAGGUAGGAUAUCUGAAGUUUUUUGUAUAUAAUUUAACGAAGUAUUAAUGAAAAAACUGACGAAAAGAUAAAAAUAAAAUAACAUGAUACUAACUUGAUAUACUUAAAUUACAGAGUACUAAAGUAAAAAUAUGCGAAACCACGUGGGCGGUAUUUGAAGUUUAUAAAUAAAGAAUGAAAAGUUGGGAACAGAAAUGGAGCAUUUUAAGACUUG